CCGAAUACAUUAGCAUGGGAUAAUGGAAUAGGACCCUGUCCUCNUAUUUUCAGUUGGUUUUGGCAGCGCGAGGACUAGGGUAAUGAUUAAUAGGGAUAGUUGGGGGCAUUAAUAUUUAAUUGUCAGAGGUGAAAUUCUUGGAUUUAUGAAAGAUUAACUUCUGCGAAAGCAUCUGCCAAGGAUGUUUUCAUUAAUCAAGAACGAAAGUUAGGGGAUCGAAGACGAUCAGAUACCGUCGUAGUCUUAACCAUAAACGAUGCCGACCAGCGAUUAGGAGACGUUGAAUACAAAACACCACCAUCGGUUGCGGUCAUCCUUGGCGUCUCG
RNAcentral lists this ribosomal RNA (327 nucleotides) under Acanthamoeba castellanii. RNAcentral's name for it is "SSU rRNA". It matches the Rfam family "Eukaryotic small subunit ribosomal RNA", at positions 795 to 1110 of the family's 1831-position model. The record is from RNAcentral. Lineage: Eukaryota; Discosea; Longamoebia; Acanthamoebidae.